AGAGUUUGAUCAUGGCUCAGAACGAACGCUGGCGGCGGGGUUUAGGCAUGCAAGUCGCGCGAGAAAGGAGCAAUCCGAGUACAGCGGCGUAAGGGUGAGUAAUGGUUCGUCAACGUACCGAGCAGACGCGAAUAAUUUCCCGAAAGGGAUUGUAAUGCGCGAUGAGACCACGUGGUGCACGCACUGUGGGGUCAAAGGUCGGGGAUCCUUCGGGACCCGGCGCUGUUUGAGCGGACGAACUCUGAUUAGCUAGUUGGCGGGGUAACGGCCCACCAAGGCGAUGAUCAGUAGCCGGGCUGAGAGGCUGUCCGGCCACACGGGCACUGAGAUACUGGCCCGACUCCUACGGGAGGCUGCAGUCGCGAAUUUUUCACAAUGGGCGCAAGCCUGAUGAAGCCACGCCGCGUGCGGGAUGAAGGCCCUCUGGGUUGUAAACCGCUGUCGAGGGAGGGGAACCGCUGCAGGUGAAUAGUCUGCAGUCUGACUGCUCUCUGAAGGAAGCCCCGGCAAAACAUGUGCCAGCAGCCGCGGUAAUACAUGUGGGGCAAGCGUUGUUCGGAAUUACUGGGCAUAAAGGGUGCGUAGGUGGUUUGUUAAGUCAGGGGUGAAAUCCCGCGGCCCAACCGUGGAACUGCCUUUGAUACUGGCGAACUUGAGUGCGUGAGGGGUAGGGGGAACGAGCAGUGUAGCGGUGAAAUGC
Molecule: ribosomal RNA, 700 nt
Filed under: uncultured bacterium
Lineage: Bacteria
Description: bacterial SSU rRNA
Rfam family: Bacterial small subunit ribosomal RNA
Source: RNAcentral